AGUUAUUAGGGGGGAAUAGUAAUUAUACCUGCUCUAUGCAUAGUAAAUGGCUGCAGUAACUUGACUGUACAAAGGUAGCAUAAUCAAUUGCUUUUUAAUUGGAGGCUGGGAUGAAAGGUGUUGACCGGGAAGAUUGUCUUAGUGGAAAAUUUUGAAUUUUAAUUAGAGAUAAAAAUGUCUUUAUGAACCCCUGGGACGAGAAGACCCUAGAAGCUUUUAGGAGAUAAUUCUUUUGGUUGGGGUGAUUUAUGAAUAUAUUGAACUUUAAAAAAGUGAUUUUGUUAGUAAGUUACUCUAGGGAUAACAGCGUAAUGAGAUUUAAGAGUUCUAAUUAAGAAUUUUGUUUGCGACCUCGAUGUUGAAUUAAAUUUAGGAGGGGUGAAGGAGCUUCUUUAGACUAGUCUGUUCGACUAUUGAAAUUUUACA
RNAcentral lists this ribosomal RNA (426 nucleotides) under Trionyxella sp. DNA101430. RNAcentral's name for it is "partial 16S ribosomal RNA". It matches the Rfam family "Bacterial large subunit ribosomal RNA", at positions 1874 to 2600 of the family's 2925-position model. The record is from RNAcentral. Lineage: Eukaryota; Metazoa; Arthropoda; Arachnida; Opiliones; Trionyxellidae.